Molecule: ribosomal RNA, 119 nt
Filed under: Rodentolepis nana
Lineage: Eukaryota; Metazoa; Platyhelminthes; Cestoda; Cyclophyllidea; Hymenolepididae
Source: RNAcentral
GUCAGCGAUCAUAACAAGUAGAAAGAACCGGUUCUCGUCCGAUCACCCAAGUUAAACCACGUUGGGCCGGGUUAGUACUUGCAUGGGUGACUGGGUGAUAACACGCGGUGUUGCUGACG